CUAUGAAAAGUAAAGUAAAAGAAAAAAACUGCGAAAGAUGCGACAUAUCGACCGAAUUCAUUCCCAUGGCAGUUACCUUUGCCGACUGUUAACGAAAUUGGAAAUGAAGUAAAUACAGCAGUGCGAGGCGCGAGAAGUGUGAGAGAGCCGAGAGCGUGUGUGUUCCUUUUCUCAGAGAGCAGAUCUGAAUAUAGAUCUCUCUCUGUCUACAAUGGAGUACAUAGACAACAUGCCGCCAAUGGAUCUGAUGCGCUCGGAGAAGAUGACUUUCGUUCAGCUUAUUAUUCCUUUUGAGUCCGCUCAUCGUGCUGUCACUUACCUUGGCCAACUCGGACUUCUCCAAUUCCGUGAUCUAAAUGCCGAAAAGAGCCCUUUCCAGAGAACAUUUGUAAACCAGGUAAAAAGAUGCGCCGAGAUGUCAAGAAAACUACGAUAUUUCAAAGAUCAGAUACACAAAGCCGGUCUAUUGCCUCCUCCUCUUCCUGCUUCCCAACCUGAUAUUGAAUUAGAAGAAUUGGAGAUACAACUGGCAGAGCAUGAACAUGAGUUGAUUGAAAUGAAUGCUAAUAGUGAGAAAUUGCGGCAAUCAUAUAAUGAGCUGCUUGAGUUUAAGAUGGUAUUGCAAAAGGCUAGUGGCUUCCUUGUUUCAAGUAGUCAUACCACUGAUCAGGAAACAGAACUGGUUGAAAAUGUGUACUCCAAUGAUAACCAUGCUGAUACAGCAUCAUUACUUGAGCAGGAGAUGCGUUCAGAACUGUCAAAUCAGUCUGGAGUUAGAUUUAUUAGUGGCAUUAUCUGCAAGUCCAAGGUUGUUCAAUUUGAAAGAAUGCUGUUUCGUGCUACAAGGGGUAAUAUGCUUUUCAAUCAGGCAGUUGCUGAUGAUGAGAUACUGGAUCCUUCCUCAAACGAAAUGGUUGAGAAAGUAGUCUUUGUAGUAUUCUUUUCAGGUGAGCAGGCGAGAACAAAAAUACUGAAAAUAUGUGAGGCAUUUGGUGCAAAUUGCUAUCCUGUUCCUGAAGACACGACAAAGAGAAGGCAGAUAACUCAAGAAGUUUUGUUUCGGCUAUCUGAAUUAGAGACCACUCUGGAUGCUGGACUGCGCCAUAGAGAUAAGGCUUUGACCUCCAUAGGGUAUCACCUUACAAAAUGGAUAAACAUGGUUAAAACACAAAAGGCAGUGUAUGACACGUUAAAUAUGCUAAAUUUCGAUGUUACAAAGAAGUGCCUUGUGGGUGAGGGCUGGUGUCCAAUAUUUGCGAAGACCAAGAUACAAGAGGCUUUGCAGCGUGGAACAUUUGAUAGCAGUUCACAAGUGGGCAUUAUAUUUCAUGUGAUGGAUGCUGUGGAGUCACCUCCAACAUACUUUAGGACAAACAGUUUCACAAAUGCAUUUCAAGAAAUUGUUGAUGCAUAUGGUGUUGCUAAAUACCAGGAGGCAAAUCCAGCUGUUUAUACCAUUGUUACAUUUCCUUUCCUUUUUGCUGUGAUGUUUGGGGACUGGGGUCAUGGAAUCUGCUUGCUGUUGGGAGCAUUAGUUCUUAUCGCAAGGGAAAGCAAACUUAGCUCUCAGAAACUAGGCAGCUUCAUGGAGAUGCUCUUUGGGGGUCGCUAUGUACUCCUGUUGAUGUCAAUAUUUUCAAUUUACUGUGGCUUGAUAUAUAAUGAAUUCUUCUCAGUUCCCUUUCACAUAUUUGGUGACUCAGCGUACAAAUGCCGAGAUGCUACAUGCAGUGAUGCACGGACAGUUGGUUUAGUAAAAUACAAUGAUCCAUAUCCAUUUGGUGUGGACCCAAGCUGGAGAGGCAGCCGUUCAGAGCUUCCUUUCUUGAAUUCUCUUAAGAUGAAGAUGUCUAUUUUGUUGGGUGUGGCCCAGAUGAACCUCGGAAUUAUUUUAAGUUAUUUCAAUGCACGUUUCUUCAGCAGCUCAAUUGAUAUUAAGUAUCAGUUUAUUCCACAAAUAAUCUUUCUCAACAGCCUCUUUGGAUACCUUUCUCUUCUUAUUCUUGUCAAAUGGUGCACUGGUUCUCAAGCAGAUCUAUAUCAUGUUAUGAUUUAUAUGUUCUUAAGUCCUUUUGAGGCUCUUGGUGAAAAUAGGUUGUUCUGGGGCCAGAGUGUGCUUCAGGUACGAGGUAAUAUUGCUGCUUUUGGCACUUGUUGCUGUCCCGUGGAUGCUCUUCCCAAAACCUUUUAUUUUGAAAAGUCUUCAUAUGGAGAGAUUUCAAGGUCGUACAUACGGGAUACUUGGAACCUCCGAGAUGGUUAUUGACGAAGAACCAGGCUCUGCCAGUCAGCAUGCUGAGGAGUUUAACUUUAGUGAGGUUUUUGUGCACCAAAUGAUACACUCUAUUGAAUUUGUUCUUGGUGCUGUUUCAAACACUGCAUCGUAUCUUCGGCUUUGGGCUUUGAGUUUGGCUCACUCUGAAUUAUCUACUGUGUUCUAUGAGAAAGUUCUCCUCCUUGCCUGGGGGUAUGAUAACAUCGUCAUUCGGCUAGUGGGGCUGGCAGUUUUUGCCUUUGCGACAACUUUUAUCCUACUUAUGAUGGAGACUCUUAGUGCAUUCCUUCAUGCAUUGCGUCUUCAUUGGGUGGAAUUCCAGAACAAGUUUUAUCAUGGGGAUGGUUAUAAGUUCAAGCCAUUCUCCUUUGCCUUGUUAGCAGAUGAUGACGAUUAGUACAUAGCCUUUCUUUCUCUCUUUUUCUGUUGGGGAAUUCUAUGGAGAAGAAGAGUUUUCCAUCUGGAGAAGAAGCCUGACAAGAAUUUCGUAAGGACCCAAUUUUGACUAACUGGCACUUUGUACACUCUUUAUUUGGAUCAGCUGGAUUAUGUAGGAUAGAAUUGUAAAUUUACAGCACAGGAUCUUUUGGUAUAGCAGUAUGAAAAGGGCUCUGAGGUCGUAGUUAGGUGUUGAGGAAGAGAUCUGUAAAGUAUUCUCAUUCCUAUAUCCUUAUCGUAUACUCCCAAACAGGGAUUCAGUCAUAGUGAUUUGUGAAGAUGGAAUGUUUUAUACCACUGUAUCUUCAGAGUUUCACAUCUUUUUGUUGCUGAAUCUAAAACUAUACGCACAAUUCAUAUUCGUUUUUGUGGGAAGUUGUCCUUCCGGUUUUGUAAUAAUAAACCCUCUUUUACGGUCUAA
This is an RNA transcript of Nicotiana tabacum (common tobacco), 3134 nucleotides long. It is a transcript of the gene named V-type proton ATPase subunit a1, with no coding region annotated. The record is from RefSeq and is a predicted model, not a curated record. NCBI's taxonomy places the organism in Eukaryota, Viridiplantae, Streptophyta, Magnoliopsida, Solanales, Solanaceae.